Molecule: non-coding RNA, 202 nt
Filed under: Oscillospiraceae bacterium
Lineage: Bacteria; Bacillati; Bacillota; Clostridia; Eubacteriales; Oscillospiraceae
Description: 6S RNA
Rfam family: 6S / SsrS RNA
About the family: E. coli 6S RNA was the first non coding RNA to be sequenced, but its function was unknown until recently.
Source: RNAcentral
GUUUGCCUGCUUGGUGCGUAGUGUGUCCUUUUGGACCCACAUCAUUUUAUCGGGAUGUUAGAUUUCCUGGCUGGAUUGCAGACCUCCCGCCUACGCUUUGACGAUAGGCGGAUGUUGGGAGCAGCUAAAGUCAGGAGCGGCAACCCACCUGCCAUAUCGUGCAGGUCAUAAUUGGAUGCAUUACGGCCAAAGCGGGUUUGGG